CAAGGGCUGACUGUAGCUGGGGGAAGACAGUUCACUCAUUUGCGCUCUCCUUUCAUACAGUCAGCUGGCCCUCUUCUCAGGUGUAGAUCACCUAUUAUCAGUUCACCUGUUUUGAUUCUCUGAUGAGGAAAAUCCCGGGACUUAUCAGCCGGGAUAGGCCUCAUUUACAAGACAGCUCUGUUCAGUGUUUGGAAGAAAGCCUGACAGGUUUCUCCGGAAAAGUGGCCAUCCAUGGAAUGAAUGAAAUGUUCCCUUUCUAUUCCAGGGAUUGCAGUGGCAAAGCUAGGCUAGGUCUUGGAGGCUGGUGUAAGGCGAAGCGGGUGAAGGCAGGAGGCUGAUGGAGAGACUGGGGGGAAGAAAAGCCGAAAUGGAUUCACGGUGCCUUGGAUGGAGGACGAGAGGGGAACUGCAGGCUCCUUCAACUCGUUCUGUCCGGUGAGAAGUGAUCAAGCUUGGGCUGACAAGAGGCUCAGGGAGUCCUCACGUUCUUUCGCUUUUUUACCUGCCAAUCAAACUGCUACAAGACAACACCCUGAUCUGGCAUGGACAUCGCGGGUCCAAGCCUGUAGUCCCAAAUCGGAUAUCUCUGCAGCUGAUAACAAGCAAAAGAGAAGCCAGGCAACAGCCAUAUUAAAGAAGAAAACAAUCAACUCUGAGGAUGCCACCCUGAAAGUUUUAUUUUCUCCAGGUUGCUAAUCUGUCAGAGAGAUUGACAUGUAAUGGCCAGGACCAUCGGAGGCUGCUCCCAACAAAGUCAUUCUGGUAGCUGGAGUUCUCUAGAAAUCAACGGGCCUGAAUUACCCAUGAUUUUUCUCUGCCCUUCAAAGGAAAAUGUGUUGUUCUAAUGCUCUUUUGGCUUUUGUGAAACGUUUUUUUUUUUUUUUUUUGGUUACAUUGUUUUAAAUUCUAAGUUUAGAUGAAAUAGGGACUUCUAUAGGAUAAUCAUACCUACAAAGAGUUUUCAAAGCCAACCAGUCCUUAAAAUUUACUUAGAAAUUGUUAAAAAGAUUUGUGGCAUUUAAAUAAAUAUUGGGAUGUCAUAAGAUUUAAAAAAUUGAGAACACUUCGGCGUCAGUGAUGAACAAGGGAACUUAAUAGAGGCAAGAACACAACUUUCUAUACUUUUUCAUGUUUUCAAACACUAAAAUAAAAUUCUCAUUUUAAGUUAUUUUUGAAACCUCUUUUCCUUUUUCUUAUCAGUGAAUAAUAUACCUGAAUUUAUAUAUAAGCAUGUGACUUAUGGAUCAUGUUACCACCAAGCCAAGUAAAUAUGUGUGAAAGUAAACUUUAGUAUGGUGUCUUUUGUUGACAG
RNAcentral lists this long non-coding RNA (1312 nucleotides) under Lynx canadensis (Canada lynx). RNAcentral's name for it is "lncRNA (ENSLCNG00005011467.1)". The stretch from base 275 to 550 matches the Rfam family "SOX2 overlapping transcript exon 3". The record is from RNAcentral. Lineage: Eukaryota; Metazoa; Chordata; Mammalia; Carnivora; Felidae.